CAGUGUGUCAUAUGAAUCUCAAUUUUUGAACAAGAAAAUGAAUUUGGGGAUUUAAAUGAACAAAGUGAAGAUAUUGCUGAAAAUUAUGACAAGCACCAAGAGUUAACCACCAAAACACAGAGUCAUUUGUCACCCACUGGCCACUAUACUGGGCUAUUGUUACAGUUUGACUUUGCAUCAAAU
This is a long non-coding RNA of Xenia sp. Carnegie-2017, 183 nucleotides long. RefSeq lists it as uncharacterized. The transcript has 3 exons. Lineage: Eukaryota; Metazoa; Cnidaria; Anthozoa; Malacalcyonacea; Xeniidae. The record is from RefSeq and is a predicted model, not a curated record.